This 2906-nucleotide ribosomal RNA is filed under the name Ambystoma mexicanum (axolotl). Its description in RNAcentral is "eukaryotic LSU rRNA". It matches the Rfam family "Eukaryotic large subunit ribosomal RNA", at positions 851 to 3401 of the family's 3401-position model. The record is from RNAcentral. Lineage: Eukaryota; Metazoa; Chordata; Amphibia; Caudata; Ambystomatidae.
ACUAGGCCUGGUGGAGGUCUGUAGCGGUCCCGAUGUGUAAAUCGGUCACCUGACCUGGGUUUAGGGGCGAAAGACUAAUCGAACCAUCUGAUAGCUGGUUCCCACUGGAGUUUCCCUCAGGAUAGCUGGCACACAGAAACCCCAGUUUUAUCUGGUAAAGUGAAUGAUUAGAGGUCUUGGGCCCAAAAUGAUCUUAACCCAUUCUCAAACUUUAAAUGGGUAAGAAGCCUGGCUCGCUGGCGUGGAACCGGCAUUGAAUGUAGGUGGCCAGUGGGCAAUUUUUAUUAAGCAGAACUGGAGCUGCGGGAUGAACAAAUCCGGGUUAAGGCGCCCGAUGCCAACGCUCAUCCGACCCCAGAAAGGUGUUGGUUGAUAUAGACAGUAGGAUGGUGGCCAUGGAAGUCAGAAUCUGCUAAGUAGCCCCAGGGAUAGAUCUCUUUUCUUUGUGAAGGGCAGGGCACCCUGUAAUGGGUUCGCCCUGAGAGAGGGCCCAAGGCUUGGAAAGCUUUGUGGUUCCGGCUGUGUGCGGUGAGCUUACGCUGGUCCUUGAAAAUCCAGGGGAGAUGGUGUAACUCUUGCGCCGGCCCGUACUCAUAUCCGCAGCAGAUCUCCAAGGUGAACAGCCUCUGGCAUGUUGGAACAAUGUAGGUAAGGGAAGUCGACAAGUCAGAUCUGUAACUGCGGGAUAAGAAUUGGCUCUAAGUGCUGGGUCAGUCGAGCUGGAGCACGAAGUGGGUCUGGGCACGGGCCGCGGCUGGAUGAGGUGUCUCACCCUCCCUCCCCCCGGGGGCGGUGCCAAGUCUGGAUGUGAGCCGGGCCCUGCCUGCGGAUCUCCCCAACUGCGGUGGUCACCUCUAUCCAUUCCCCUCCUGGGGUUUGGGGGCCGACGUUCUGCCUCGGCCGACGCCUAGCAGCUGACUUGGAACUGGUGUGGACCAGGGGAAUCUGACUGUUUAAUCAAAACAGCAUUGCGAAGGCCUGCGGUGGGUGUUGACGCAAUGUAAUUUCUGCCCAGUGCUCUGAAUGUCAAAGUGAAGAAAUUCAAUGAAGCGCAGGUAAACGUCAGGAGUAACUAUGACUCUCUUACGGUAGUCAAAUGCCUCGUCAUCUAAUUAGUGAUGCACAUGUUUGUUUGUUUGUUUAUUCAUUUGUUAUGCGCACUAGACUCGUGAGUAAAAGGGAACAGCAGUAUGGAGAUGCAAACUUACAAAGUUGCGAAAUAUGCACAGAAUACAGUAUUUACAUGCUUACAAGAUAUACCCAAUGUACAAAAUAGGGGCAGAGACUAAAAAUGGCCUAUGUAAUUACAAAAAUAAACAAUAAGCACUGUACAAAAAAUAUAUAUUGCAAAGGUGAAGCCCUUCGUAUAUCACUUAGGCUCACAAGUAGACUAGAUUACACAUAGUCUUCAGAUGUUAACGCAGUAAUGCACUAUUAAUGCAGAGUGAGAAUCUGAAGAAGGUCUCUUCAGAUGUGGGCAGGUCCACAACGGGUACUGGGAGACUAGGGGUCAGUAGCGAUGAUGUAUUUUAUUACAUUUUUUCUGAAGUGUAGGUAGGGUUGGACGGCCGUCAGAUCUUGAGGCAAUGAGUUCCAGAAUUUAGCUGCCUUUACAGUAAAGCUGUUACCACCAAUAGCAGUGAGCUUAUAUUUAGGUAUGGUCAGACAGUUAACAUUCCCCGUUCUGGUAGGUCUGAGAGAAGUUCUUCUCUAGAGUUUAUAAGGUAGCUGGGGCUGCGUUAUUGAGGGCUUUGUAGGUCAAGGAAAGCGUUUUUAGUUGUAUUUUAUUGGAUGUGGAUAAACUUUUGUGCUGGCGUCUCAAGGAGGAGAUGGAUGGAUGAAUGAGAUUCCCACUGUUCCUACCUACUAUCUAGCGAAACCACAGCCAAGGGAACGGGCGUGGCAGAAUCUGCGGGAAACAAGACCCAGUUGAGCUUGUCUCUAGUCUCGCACUGUGAAGGGACAUGCGAGGUGUAGGAGAAGUGGGAGGCCCGCGGGUCGCCUGUGAAAUACCACUGGUAUUAUAUUAUUUUCACUUACCCGGUGAGGUGUGGGCCGAGCCCCGUGGGGCUCCCACUUCUGGCUCCAAGCGCCCAGCGCCCGCCAUGCGUGACCCGCUCCGGGGACAGUGACAUUUGGGGUGUUUGACUGGGGCGGUACACCUGUCAAACAAUAACACAGGUGUCCUUAGGCAAACUAAGGGAGGACAGAAACCUCCCAUGUAGCAGAAAGGCAAAAGCUCACUUGAUCUCUAUUUUUCAGUAUGAAUACAGACCGUGAAAGUGGAGCCUCAUGAUCCUUAUGACUUUUUCGGUUCAAGCAGAAAAGUUACCGCAGGGAUAACUGGCUUGUGGCGGCCAAGCGUUCAUAGUGACGUUGCAUUUUGAUCAUUCGAUGUCGGCUCUUCCUAUCAUUGUGAAGCAGAAUUCAGCAAGCGUUGGAUUGGUCACCCACUAAUAGGAAAUGUGAGGUGGGUUUAGACCUUUGUGAGACAGGUUAGUUUUACUCUACUGAUGAUAUGUUGUUGCAAUAGUAAUCCUGCUCAUUACAAGAGGAACCGCAGGCUCAGACAUUUGGUGUAUGUCCUUGGCUAAGGAGCCAAUAGGGCGAAGCUAACAUCUGUGGGAUUAUGACUGAAUCGCCCCUAAGCCGUAACAAUACUGCAUCGCUGUUGAGUCUCGGUUGGCCUAGGAUAGCUGGCCUCUGGGCUGGUGUGUAGAACCGCUCGCCUUGGGACUUGCAUAUGGACAGAACAGGGCCACCUCUUUCGCCCGUAGUGUACCGCAUGUUCGUGGGGAACCUGGUGCUAAAUCAGUCGUAGAUUACCCGAUUCUGAUUCUGGUUCAGGGUUUUGUACUACCUUGCUGCGAUCUAUUGAAAGUCAUCCUCUGAACCAAGCUUUUGUC